This 498-nucleotide ribosomal RNA is filed under the name uncultured bacterium. RNAcentral's name for it is "partial 16S ribosomal RNA". It matches the Rfam family "Bacterial small subunit ribosomal RNA", at positions 28 to 507 of the family's 1533-position model. The record is from RNAcentral.
GACGAACGCUGGCGGCGUGCCUAAUACAUGCAAGUCGUGCGGACCUUUUAAAAGCUUGCUUUUAAAAGGUUAGCGGCGGACGGGUGAGUAACACGUGGGCAACCUGCCUGUAAGACUGGGAUAACGCCGGGAAACCGGGGCUAAUACCGGAUCGUUUUUCCUCCCCAUGGAGGAAAAAGGAAAGGCGGCUUCGGCUGCCACUUACAGAUGGACCCGCGGCGCAUUAGCUAGUUGGCAGGGUAACGGCCCACCAAGGCAACGAUGCGUAGCCGACCUGAGAGGGGUGACGGCCACAUUGGGACUGGGACACGGCCCAAACCUCCACGGGGGGCAGCAGGAGGGGAUCUUUCGGCAUUGACGGAAGUCUGGCGGGGGAACGGCGGGGGAGGGGAGAAGGGCUUCGGGUCGGAAAACUCCGUUGCCGGGGAAGAAAAAGUGCCGUACGAACAGGUCGGCGCCUUGACGGUACCCGGCCAGAAAGCCACGGCUAACUACGUG